This 393-nucleotide ribosomal RNA is filed under the name uncultured bacterium. RNAcentral describes it as "partial 16S ribosomal RNA". It matches the Rfam family "Bacterial small subunit ribosomal RNA", at positions 523 to 918 of the family's 1533-position model. The record is from RNAcentral.
AUACGUAGGUGACAAGCGUUAUCCGGAUUUACUGGGCGUAAAGGGCGUGUAGGCGGUCUUGCAAGUCAGAAGUGAAAUUCCUGAGCUCAACUCGGGCGCUGCUUCUGAAACUGCAGGACUUGAGUGCUGGAGGGGAUAGCGGAAUUCCUGGUGUAGCGGUGGAAUGCGUAGAGAUCAGGAAGAACACCGAUGGCGAAGGCAGCCUGCUGGGGACUUAUCGACGCUGAGGCUCGAAAGUGCGGGUAGCAAACAGGAUUAGAUACCCUGGUAGUCCGCACCGUAAACGAUGCAUACUGGGUGUCCGGGGGUUCCCCCGGGUACCGUAGCCAACGCGUUAAGUAUGCCGCCUGGGGAGUACGUACGCAAGUAUGAAACUCAAAGGAAUUGACGGGG